GAGGGGGCACAGAAUAGGGACCCACGCGGUUUCUAGCAGCCGGCGGACGGGGAGCAAGCGGCCGCCAGGGACACCUGCCCUUCCUCCCUCCUCCUCCCUCCCUCCCUCCCUCCCUCCUUCCUCCUCCUCCUCCUCCUCCUCCUCCUCGCCCAGCCCCGCCGGACCCCCGCAGCAGCCGUGAGAGGCAGCCUGUCUGAUCCCCAUCAAAUGCUGACAGCUUCCCUCUCCCGUCUGCUCCACCGGGACUGUCUGCCGUCACGUGCCUGGAGGCACCAGAGCUGCUUGCUGCAGUCCCAUGGUGGAUCCCCAGCUCUCAGGCACUUCCCUGGCAGGUCUCCUUCCUGCUGGCUUUGGGCAGUAUCUGCCACUUCACCCGCUGCAGCUCCGCCAGCCAAGUGUCCCAGAGAGGUUUCCUCUGGCAAUGCCUUCCAGCAGCUGCAGGGCCACAGAGGCUCCUUAGGGGACGUGUCUCACCUCAGCCCAGCUACCUGCUGGUGGUGACCACUGUGAAGAACUUUCAGGCCUUCUCUGAAGUCCCAGGGGAGAGUGAUGUGCUACAAGACAGGUGCACCAGAGACCGAGGUCAGGGAGUGACAGAAGUCUGUCCAGGCUUCCCUCCCACACUGUGAGCUGCUGGAGACUGCCUGUAGAAGAAAUGCUAUUUGAGUUUGUACCCACAGAAGGAAGAAUUAAUGGACCAUUCAGAAGGAAACAAUCUCUGUGAGGAAAGAUGCAAAUCAAUCAUCUGUGAGUGGCUGAUGUCCUCACACAGUCACUUGUGCUGGGCAGCCUACGGGGAUGGAAGAAUACCCCUCUCUGCUGACCUGCUUCAUCCUGAGGAAGGGAGUUUGCCAUUGCCCACUGGGUGGAGUUGUCUUCCCUCCUAUCCUACCCCUCAGACCAGGAUUGUUCCUCUGUCAGCCUUGCCCUCCAGCAUACUCCAGGCUUGGAAUGAAAGGCAAGGAAAAAGUUAGAGGAAAAGUCUCACUGGGGGCAGAGAGAGCACCUGGAGAGACCAGGGACUGACAGAAAUGUUAGUGGCUGUAAUAACCACCUAGGAUUCACAGACCACUUAAAAGGAAUGCAGAACAAGCAUUUGCAAAAGAUGAAAUUUGCUCCUUUCCCCGUGAAGUGCAGGUGAGCUGGCAGUUGUAAAAAAAUCUGCAGAUGUUCUUGAGGAAAAAGAAAAAUUUGUCAGUGGGUUCGAGAAAAUGCUUAUACUGGUCUUGGGACAUCAGGAUGACUCUCCUGGUACAGAUUGUUGGUUCAGGAGCAAAACCUACAUAAGCUGUGAUAUAAGCUGGUCCUGCUCCACUUCUGUUGGGCACACUCCCAUGAGAGCUGGAUGGCACGAUCAUAAGCAUUUGUCUCCUGGACACAUGUAACGCAAAGAGCUCUUCUGCAGAAAAAGGCAGAUGACUGCAGAUCUCAAGGGAACAAAUUUUGCCUCAGGUUUUUAAACAUUAAACUCAUAGCCUUUCGAUCUGGGGCAGUCCACUGUGACACUACAGGGUUUUUUUCUGUUAGUCUCUACAUUCCUCCCCUGCCGCCCAUUUGUAGCCCACCAUUCCCAUCACAGCUGGGCUGUUUUAGAAGAUUUUCAGAAGGCUUUAGUAAAAAGUAUAUGUUAACUCUUUAAAACCCUAUCUGGCCUGGAAAGAUGCUCUGGCAUGGGACCCUCAGGCAGACUGCGGUUGCUUGCUAGCUCUCAGCUUGCUUGUGAGCACAGACAACUUUCUUAUCAGCACUUCUCUCUUCAGCUCCCACUCAGGGUAACAGGCACAACUGUAUUUCCCUUCACUUGUUCUUUUCACAGCAGUUCUACAUAAGACUGUAAGCUCCAUGGUAUGUAUGCUAUCUUUUACAGUCCCACAAAAAUUUGGCUGUCUCACUGUUACAGUUACACACGCCCCCAACACAACAGUGCUGGCAGACCUCCUUGAAGUCAUUACCUGCACCGUGCUUUGGAUCAAGGCCUAAUGAACUGCAAUUAUUUGAGGAGGAGCUUAUUAUUAAGCUGACAUCUUUAUCACUAGACCAAAUCCUUCAGUUCUUUACUGAGGCAAAACCCUCCCAGUUGCAGUCAGUAAAAUCUGUAGGCUGUAGCUGCAUGCUGCAUGUCUGAAGCAAAGCAUAAUAGUUUAAUUACCUCUUGAAUUGGUAUGUAACUCCUAAUAGGUGCCAUCUAUCAGUACAGAAAUGGAAACAAGGACUGAAAUGUUAACAUUGCUUAGUUUAGUUCUGUUGAGGUGAAAUAUCCAAACAGCUUUUCUCCUUGGAGAAGAGACCUCAGCAUUACCAAGGCAGGGGUUGUUGAUUUGAAGCCAUGGACUUCCUUCUUUUAAUCAGUGUAAUCAGUGAUGAGUAGAUAAUGAACAAAUGCAUCCAGCUGCAAAUUUCACAUAAUAUGUGGUCCACAAGCCUUUGGAACACAAAUACUGUAAAAAAACAGUUUGAAGCAGGUUUGCUGCAAGCAGAGACCAGCGGAACUCUGCACGCUGUCAGGACCUCACGGCCCACUGCUAUGUGCAGUACUGUGCGUUAGAGUACUAGACCUUCUUGGAGAGAUACAGUACUUGGGUAAAUCUCAUCCCUAUGGUCUGAUCCUGCAAACAAGAUAUGGUAUGUAAAUUUAAGAUACCCAAUUAGAAGGUACCACAAAGUGAUACACAAAUACUGAUUAGUAAAUAGCAGCCCUGCAAGGAUUUUAGUCUGGAGCUUGUUUGUAGCUAGACUGAAUUAAUUGGCUUUACAUUGCAAUUCUGGAAGUUCAGCAUAUGCUUUUCUAUGUGAAUAGUCCCUUUGAAAUCACUGGGAACAACUAUCGAGGUUGUAGCAAGCUUCAUGUCUGCCACUGAUCUGAAGCCCACUGCCGAUGUUUACACAGAGCAUGAUUUUUUAAAUUGCAUACUUUCAUUGACUUUGAUAGGAUUAUUUGCCCCAAGUCAUGGUGAGUUGUUUGUAUGAUCUGGGAUUUAACCUCCUAAGGGAAGUCUCCUUUUCAAUUCCUUCCCCUUUUCCAGCUCUACAAAUUUCUCCUUGGAUUAGGCAUUUCUACCUGCUGUGAAAUGUAUUGUCCACCCACAGUUACAUCUGAAAAAUGACAAUAGAGAAGACAGAGUGUGUUAUCCUGUGCUUGAGAACCUCUGUAGAAAUGUGGAGUGACAGCAGGAUGACUGCAGCUGAUGGCAAAAGAUAAGGUAUGGUUAUGAAGCUGCAUAGCUAGCAAAUGAUUUCAAAAGUUUGGGUUUGAAUCUUUUUUCCUUUUGGGCUCUAUUGCUGGCACUAAGCUUUUGGUUCAUAAUGAAAAACAAUAUAUAUUUAGUCCUAAUUACAGUCUAUCACUUCAUUAUGUUAGUAAUUUUGAUUACUUUGCUACUUGAAUCAGCACAAGGAUAGAGUCAAAAUAUCAUUUGGAAUAGAGGACUAGGAAAAUAACUCUCCCAAGAAGCUAGUAUGUUGGGUAAAAAUAUGUUGUUGUAUUGGCUGUAAUCAGUAACACCCAAAGUGCGAAGGAAGUAAACGCUAUCCCUAUCUGCUGGCAAUGUUGUGCUCUCAGCUGCUGUUAUCAUUUCAAAAUAAUCCUCAUCUGAGUGGAAGAGAAUUCCUUUUCCUUUUCCUUGGAGUGACUGUUGUCCUCCUUCAGUGUGAUGUGUGCCACAGAGGAAGAAACUAAAGGGACUUACUGCAUAUGUUUUUUCCAUCUUACCAAGUCCAGAAAUCAUUUUCAGAGCAAUCCCAUAUAGCCACAAAGCUGUACCCAGUUAAAAGAUUAUUGUGACAUUAUUAUUAGAAAUCGCUGCAGCAACAACUUGCUAAAUGAACUGUUAAAAGCAAACCAGACUCACUGAACCACAAUAAAAUUCAUUAAAGGCUGCUUGGGGCAA
Molecule: long non-coding RNA, 3887 nt
Organism: Aquila chrysaetos chrysaetos
Lineage: Eukaryota; Metazoa; Chordata; Aves; Accipitriformes; Accipitridae
Exons: 4
Source: RefSeq, a predicted model, not a curated record